AGUGAACGCUGGCGGUAGACCUAACACAUGCAAGUCGAACGGCAGCACAGUAAGAGCUUGCUCUUACGGGUGGCGAGUGGCGGACGGGUGAGGAAUACAUCGGAAUCUACUUUUUCGUGGGGGAUAACGUAGGGAAACUUACGCUAAUGCCGCAUACGACCUACGGGUGAAAGCAGGGGAUCUUCGGACCUUGCGCGAUUGAAUGAGCCGAUGUCGGAUUAGCUAGUUGGCGGGGUAAAGGCCCACCAAGGCGACGAUCCGUAGCUGGUCUGAGAGGAUGAUCAGCCACACUGGAACUGAGACACGGUCCAGACUCCUACGGGAAGCAGCAGUGGGGAAUAUUGGACAAUGGGCGCAAGCCUGAUCCAGCCAUACCGCGUGGGUGAAGAAGGCCUUCGGGUUGUAAAGCCCUUUUGUUGGGAAAGAAAAGCAGCAGGUUAAUACCCCGCUGUUCUGACGGUACCCAAAGAAUAAGCACCGGCUAACUUCGUG
RNAcentral lists this ribosomal RNA (492 nucleotides) under uncultured bacterium. RNAcentral's name for it is "partial 16S ribosomal RNA". It matches the Rfam family "Bacterial small subunit ribosomal RNA", at positions 29 to 507 of the family's 1533-position model. The record is from RNAcentral.